RNAcentral lists this long non-coding RNA (1258 nucleotides) under Elaeis guineensis (African oil palm). Its description in RNAcentral is "long non-coding RNA (EGUI_LNC030313)". Lineage: Eukaryota; Viridiplantae; Streptophyta; Magnoliopsida; Arecales; Arecaceae. The record is from RNAcentral.
CCCCUUGUCAACAAGCUCGCACGGCUAACAGCCCCUCAUCAUGCUUCUUGGAUGCCAUGAUCGCAUUUGGCUCCAUCAACAUUCUUUUUCUAGAACCAAAUAUAUACAACCCUAAAAUCAGCGCACUCCUCCACCCACCAUUUAACCAGACUUCCAAGACCCUCUCCCUGUAACCGAUAGCUUCCACAUUGCUCCCUCUCUAGAAACCUCACUUCCAGCCACCGAUCUCAUCACCCAGGAGAACAUUCCCGCUCCAUCUGGCCAACUCCCUCAUCAAUUAGGUUUGCACAUGGGUUUGGGUCAACACUUCCAGUAACAGAUGGAAAUUUAUUGAAUUACAAAACAUAAUAACAACACCAGGAACUCUGACACUCAUAGGAAUUAUAUAUGCGACUCGUUGACGUUCGAAACAAGUUGGCAAAUGGAAAGAUACCAAGUGUAUAAGGGGCAAUGAAUAGCUUAUAUUAUCUAUCACCAAAGAGGAUUGGUGAAGCAACACAAUUGUGCAAAGAUAAACACUAAAACACCAGCCAAAUGUCUGAUGAAGGAGCGGAACUCGGUGCUGCUAGCGGGCGCGGCAGGGUUCGCAGGAAACGAUGUGGAAGUUGAACUUGGAAUCGCUGGCUUUGCUGGCAUGGACACGCUUCUCGAACUCGGGCCGUUCUUGGCGACGAAGGCCGUCUUCUUGAUAAUCAUCUGGAUAUCGAGCAGUUGGUGGACGAUGUUGACGAUUCUCUUGUUGGUCGCCACUGGCGGCGCCGAAGUGGCCACGGAGGUGGACUGGCCUCCGAUUAUCUGUCUCUUAGCGUAUACAGUGCCGGAAGAACGGCGAGGGAGUGAUCCGGCGACGUGAACGGCGUCGGAGGAGCAGCAGCGGUACGGGGGACAUGAGUGGCCCCUCUCUCUCCACCGCUCGGGGAGAAGCGCGGACGCAAGAAAGUUUAGAAUCCUUUUAAUCUCCCGUUAGGUCCCGUCUCUACGCGCAUCAAACCAAUAUGAAUCGCCACCCUACGCGCCCCGAUCGGACAGUCUAGAGAGGGAUAGAACGUCGAGUGCUCUUUUGCGCGAAAGACCUAACCCGAAUCAGGAUAUUUAUGCUCUAUAUAGCGGCUCAUCAUGAUCAUGCAUCGUGGCAUCCCCUCGCGAAUCGCAACAACAACUUCAACUUCCUCCUUGAAGGUUGCGUGUCGUAGCAGGGAAACUUUGUUUAUGGAGUGAAAUAUCUGGCAGAGAUUAGCGUGAUGGUGCUACGAAAGCA